CACGGGGGGAGCAAGCGUUGUUCGGAAUCACUGGGCGUAAAGGGUGCGUAGGCGGGUCUUUAAGUCAGGGGUGAAAUCCUGGAGCUCAACUCCAGAACUGCCUUUGAUACUGAGGAUCUUGAGUCCGGGAGAGGUGAGUGGAACUGCGAGUGUAGAGGUGAAAUUCGUAGAUAUUCGCAAGAACACCAGUGGCGAAGGCGGCUCACUGGCCCGGUACUGACGCUGAGGCACGAAAGCGUGGGGAGCAAACAGG
This 253-nucleotide ribosomal RNA is filed under the name uncultured bacterium. Its description in RNAcentral is "partial 16S ribosomal RNA". It matches the Rfam family "Bacterial small subunit ribosomal RNA", at positions 524 to 776 of the family's 1533-position model. The record is from RNAcentral.